UACGAAGGGGGCUAGCGUUGCUCGGAAUCACUGGGCGUAAAGGGUGCGUAGGCGGGUUUUUAAGUCAGGGGUGAAAUCCUGGAGCUCAACUCCAGAACUGCCUUUGAUACUGAAAAUCUUGAGUCCGGGAGAGGUGAGUGGAACUGCGAGUGUAGAGGUGAAAUUCGUAGAUAUUCGCAAGAACACCAGUGGCGAAGGCGGCGCACUGGCCCGAUACUGACGCUGAGGCACGAAAGCGUGGGGAGCAAACAGG
Molecule: ribosomal RNA, 253 nt
Filed under: uncultured bacterium
Lineage: Bacteria
Description: partial 16S ribosomal RNA
Rfam family: Bacterial small subunit ribosomal RNA
Source: RNAcentral